This 459-nucleotide ribosomal RNA is filed under the name uncultured bacterium. RNAcentral describes it as "partial 16S ribosomal RNA". It matches the Rfam family "Bacterial small subunit ribosomal RNA", at positions 29 to 523 of the family's 1533-position model. The record is from RNAcentral.
AACGAACGCUGGCGGCAGGCCUAACACAUGCAAGUCGAACGAGAAGCCACCUUCGGGUGGUGGACAGUGGCAGACGGGUGAGUAACGCGUGGGAACGUGCCUUUCGGUUCGGGAUAACCCAGGGAAACUUGGGCUAAUACCGGAUACGCCCUCCGGGGGAAAGAUUCAUCGCCGAAAGAUCGGCCCGCGUCGGAUUAGCUAGUUGGUAGGGUAAUGGCCUACCAAGGCGACGAUCCGUAGCUGGUCUGCGAGGAUGACCAGCCACACUGGGACUGAGACACGGCCCAGACUCCUACGGGAGGCAGCAGUGGGGAAUAUUGGACAAUGGGCGAAAGCCUGAUCCAGCCAUGCCGCGUGGGUGAAGAAGGCCUUAGGGUUGUAAACCCCUUUCAGCGGGGAAGAUAAUGACGGUACCCGCAGAAGAAGUCCCGGCUAACUCCGUGCCAGCAGCCGCCGUAA